GGUAAUGUGGCUUAGUGUUAGAGUGCUUGCCUAGCAUGCAUGAAGCCCUGGGUUCCAAUCCUCAAUACUU
RNAcentral lists this transfer RNA (70 nucleotides) under Dipodomys ordii (Ord's kangaroo rat). It matches the Rfam family "tRNA". Rfam says of the family: Transfer RNA (tRNA) molecules are approximately 80 nucleotides in length. Their secondary structure includes four short double-helical elements and three loops (D, anti-codon, and T loops). Further hydrogen bonds mediate the characteristic L-shaped molecular structure. tRNAs have two regions of fundamental functional importance: the anti-codon, which is responsible for specific mRNA codon recognition, and the 3' end, to which the tRNAs corresponding amino acid is attached (by aminoacyl-tRNA synthetases). tRNAs cope with the degeneracy of the genetic code in two manners: having more than one tRNA (with a specific anti-codon) for a particular amino acid; and 'wobble' base-pairing, i.e. permitting non-standard base-pairing at the 3rd anti-codon position. Lineage: Eukaryota; Metazoa; Chordata; Mammalia; Rodentia; Heteromyidae. The record is from Rfam by way of RNAcentral.